Molecule: long non-coding RNA, 424 nt
Organism: Gossypium arboreum
Lineage: Eukaryota; Viridiplantae; Streptophyta; Magnoliopsida; Malvales; Malvaceae
Exons: 2
Source: RefSeq, a predicted model, not a curated record
CUUCUUCAACCGUGGAAAGAACAGAAAAUAGCAGCCAUGGAUGAGCUCCAUUCGGCCAAGCUUUUAUGGCUUAUAUAGAGUUUCCAAGUUAGCUCGGGUUGGAGGCCGUCAGAGAUAUUAUCACCCUAUCGAGUUAACGUUAUCGGAGUAAGUAAACUCAAGUGAUUCGAGUCUAUGGCAUGUAUAGGGUUUUAAUGUGAGUAUGUAAUAUUAUGAUUUAGCCAAAGGCAGUGGCUUGUUAUUAAGGUAGUAUUAGUCAUGUAAAUUGGCCUAUGUCGGCUAAUGACAUUAUGGGCCCAUAUGAUUAUUCUUAUGCAUGUAUGUUAUUAUCUCUUGUGAUGUGGCUUACAACAUGUAUGCCUAGAGAUUGAAUUGAGAUUCAUUGAUGAGCUAGUAACUAAUGCAAGAUUAAGUGAUUGGUAAA